AAGCAUGGCCAUACCACCCGAAAAUGCCUGAUUUUGUCUGAUCUCAAAAGGUAAGCAGGGUCAGACCUGGUUAGUACUUGGAUGGGAGGCUGACUGGAAACACUGGGUGCUAUAGUUU
Molecule: ribosomal RNA, 118 nt
Organism: Chlorocebus sabaeus (green monkey)
Lineage: Eukaryota; Metazoa; Chordata; Mammalia; Primates; Cercopithecidae
Source: Ensembl